AAUUACGUAUGAUAAAAAUAAAAGGAUAUACAGAUGCAUAAAGUUCCAGAAAAAGAACACAUAAAGAAAUUGUGGUUAUCUGCAUUAAACAUCAAGCAGAUUAGUCCAAAUGCAAGAGUGUGUUCAAAACAUUUUAAUGAACAGGAUUUCACAAAAAGUAUUGUUGGGGAAAGAAAAUAUGUCAAAUAAUGUGUAGUAUUGUAAUUUUUUAUAAAUGUAAAUAAAUAAAAUUUUCUAUAUAUCAACAA
Nylanderia fulva is the source of this 248-nucleotide non-coding RNA. The record is from RefSeq and is a predicted model, not a curated record. Lineage: Eukaryota; Metazoa; Arthropoda; Insecta; Hymenoptera; Formicidae.